UUUCCGUAGGUGAACCUGCGGAAGGAUCAUUAGUGAUUUGGUCGAAAGACCUCUAUCCAUGUCCUCACACCUGUGAACUUGUCGAUCUCCUGGCACUCUGUGCUGGGGAUUGAACCUUUACAAACAUCAGUGUAAUGAACGUCUAAAUGUAUAACAUAAUAAAACUUUCAACAACGGAUCUCUUGGCUCUCGCAUCGAUGAAGAACGCAGC
Molecule: unclassified non-coding RNA, 211 nt
Filed under: uncultured fungus
Lineage: Eukaryota; Fungi
Description: sequence contains ITS1, 5.8S rRNA gene
Rfam family: 5.8S ribosomal RNA (bases 163-211)
Source: RNAcentral